Molecule: ribosomal RNA, 549 nt
Filed under: Fibrenus sp. L42 Col
Lineage: Eukaryota; Metazoa; Arthropoda; Insecta; Hemiptera; Largidae
Description: partial 16S ribosomal RNA
Rfam family: Bacterial large subunit ribosomal RNA
Source: RNAcentral
AAACAUGUCUUGUUGAUUCUAUAAUAUUAAGUCUAGCCUGCUCAAUGAUUAAAGUAUUUAAUAGCCAUAGUAUUCUAACUAUGCAAAGGUAGCAUAAUAAUUUGUCUUUUAAUUCGAAGGCUUGAAUGAAUGGCUGGAUGAGGGAUAAACUUUCUUAAUCUAAAUUAUUUUGAAUUUAAUUUUUAAGUAAAAAAGCUUAACUUUAGUUGUGGGACGAGAAGACCCUAUAGAAUUUUAUUUCUUACAAUAAUUUUUGUCUUUAGGAUUUAAAUAUUAAUUAAUUGAUAAGGUUAUAAAAAGGAAUUUGGUUGGGGUGAUUGUGGAAUUUAAUAAACUUCCAUUCUUUAAAUUUCAAAAAUUAUUGUUUAAUUGAUCCUUUAUUAUGGAUUAUAAGAUUAAAUUACCUUAGGGAUAACAGCGUAAUUUCUUUGGAGAGUUCUUAUCGAUAAUGAAGUUUGCGACCUCGAUGUUGGAUUAAAGUAAAUUAUUAGUGCAGAAGCUAAAUAUUUGGGUCUGUUCGACCCUUAAAUCUUUACAUGAUCUGAGUUC